Molecule: ribosomal RNA, 445 nt
Filed under: uncultured bacterium
Lineage: Bacteria
Description: bacterial SSU rRNA
Rfam family: Bacterial small subunit ribosomal RNA
Source: RNAcentral
CCCAGACUCCUACGGGAGGCAGCAGUGGGGGAUAUUGCACAAUGGGGGAAACCCUGAUGCAGCGACGCCGCGUGGGUGAAGAAGCGCCUCGGCGCGUAAAGCCCUGUCAGCAGGGAAGAAAAUGACGGUACCUGAAGAAGAAGCCCCGGCUAACUACGUGCCAGCAGCCGCGGUAAUACGUAGGGGGCAAGCGUUAUCCGGAUUUACUGGGUGUAAAGGGGGCGCAGACGGCGAUGCAAGCCAGGAGUGAAAGCCCGGGGCUCAACCCUGGGACUGCUCUGGAAACUGUAAAGCUGGAGUGCGGGAGGGGCAGGCGGAAUUCCUGGUGUAGCGGUGAAAUGCGUAGAUAUCAGGAGGAACACCGGCGGCGAAGGCGGCCUGCUGGACCGUAACUGACGUUGAGGCUCGAAAGCGUGGGGAGCAAACAGGAUUAGAUACCCGUGUA